This 253-nucleotide ribosomal RNA is filed under the name uncultured bacterium. RNAcentral describes it as "partial 16S ribosomal RNA". It matches the Rfam family "Bacterial small subunit ribosomal RNA", at positions 524 to 776 of the family's 1533-position model. The record is from RNAcentral.
UACGUAGGAGACGAGCGUUGUCCGGAGUUACUGGGCGUAAAGGGUGCGCAGGUGGUUGUGCGCGUGGGGGGUGAAAUCGCCCGGCUUAACUGGGCGGGGGCCUUCCAGACGGCGUGACUUGAGGCGCGGAGGGGGACGUGGAAUUCCGGGUGGAGCGGUGAAAUGCGCAGAUAUCAGGAAGAACACCCGUGGCGAAGGCGGCUCUCUGGGACGGUACUGACGCUGAGACGCGAAAGCGUGGGGAGCGAACAGG